CAGCGACCUAAACCCAACGCCCCAGGGGAGCCCUCGCAGCCUCACAAAUAAAAGCACUAACAUGAUUCUGUGUUCCCUUCAAUCACAACGCAGGCACACAUCUCUCUUCCCUGAGCAGCUCCCACAGGACCUGGCAGGCUGCCCCUGCCCUCUCCUGAAGCCGGGCUGCUUGGCACGGGGAGCCCCCGGCAGGCACGGUCCCCUCGCUGCCCAGGCGCACGCAGGCUGCGGAGCCGCUCCGUGCCCCCGCUCAGAGGCGACCCCGAUACCAGGACUGCCCUCAGCCCCUUCCGUAUCCCGGGGGCGGUAAUGCGGCUCCUGCACCCCAGCAGCGCAUCGGACCCGGGAACCCCAGCUGCGGGCAGGAUGGAAGUGAUGUGGAGAGCCCUGCCUGCCCUGUGGUACGGGGGCUGCAGUCAGGAGGCAAGGAGGAGCAAAGGAGGAGAAUGUUGCCUCAUCCUCUGCUCACAACAAGCCCAGGCCACCUGGCAUGGGAGCGGUAUGGGCAUAGCAGGGAGCGUGUGAAUCACCUUGGACGUGCUGCAGUUCUGUGAAGAAGAGGUGUGUGUUUGUGUUGGAAGUGCUGUAAUGUUUGGCACACUGAGACUUCUACCUGCUCACCAUGACUGGUAUUCCCUGUUCUGCAAGACUGGAAGAAAAAGAGCAUAUGCAAUGAAAUGGAUCCUUGGGUUUUGGAUCUUGAGGUGACCUUGACUCCACAAAUUUCCUGAACAAUUAAACUACAGAACAGUUGAUUGCUUCUUUGUUUGUGUGGCAAUAGAUUAUGGAAUAAGAUAAAAGGAGCCUUCAGAACCUACCCUUACUGGCUUUUUUUUUCUUUUUGUGGAGAACACCACCACGAAAAUAUGCCAUAAUGUAAGAAAAUGGUUUUAGUAUAUUUCUGACUUGGUACUUGUCUAGCCAUGCAUUAUUUGCAAUUUACACUAUUCUGAAGCAUGAGCAUUGUGUGAAACUAUUGGUGUGUAGGGGAAGACUUUGUGAGGUUAAAAGUGCAGAGGAGACCAAGAGAGAGGAUUUGUUCUUUGAUCCGGAAGCUGAGACCGGACUUGCACAGAUGCUGAGCCCUUGGCUUCUCCUGGAGAUCUGUAUACUCAGCAUCUCAGUCUACCAGACCUGGAAUAACUCGGAAAUCUGGAUGGCAGCCAAACACAGCACAUUUUUAUUCGAAGCAGUCUAGGCUUUUUAUUUUGCAAUGAUUCCCUCUAUAUGUAUAUUAUUAUUUUUAAGUCCUAACAGUAAAGUGCAUAUGCUUCUUGUUGUUAGGGUGAGGGUACUGGUCAUGGUGCUGAAAGGAUUGUGAUGGGGAAAGUUUCAGGUGAUGUCUCCUGACAUUCACAGCUCAUGUCAAGGAAAGCAACUCUGGAACUCAGAUCUGCACUCUCACGGAUAAAUACACUCUGUUUGGACAGGAGGAUAAACAUGGGUUCUGCUGUGAGAAACACGUCAGAGAAAGAUAAAGAUACCAUUAUGUAAAGGUGAAAGUCAAAUCAAGAUACUCAUUCACAUUGUUAACAUAUUGCAAUUUCCGCAAACAGCAGGAUUCUCAGCUGCAUCUUUGCUUUGGGACAAACCUGCUCAUUCCUUCAAAGACCAGUGGAAGUCACUAUUUUCGUGAAUUUCAGGUGAGCUUUAGGUGGGUCAGAUCCCAGAGUUCCUGUGCCCGUCUUUAGCUGGAAAUCACCCUCUCUCCAAUCAAAGCUGAAGAAUCUUUUUUUUUUUUUUUUUGGCACAUGACAAGAGCAGAGGAUUCACUGCGAUUUACACCAUCACCCUACUUCCUUUCGAAUUAAGCUGUAAAACGAACCCACGGUUUCGCAGGUGCUGGAGGCGAGGUGCAGGUCCUCCCUCUGCAGAGCCGGGCUGCCGGG
Non-coding RNA from Zonotrichia albicollis (white-throated sparrow), 1889 nucleotides. NCBI's taxonomy places the organism in Eukaryota, Metazoa, Chordata, Aves, Passeriformes, Passerellidae. The record is from RefSeq and is a predicted model, not a curated record.